Plodia interpunctella (Indianmeal moth) is the source of this 1565-nucleotide long non-coding RNA. RefSeq lists it as uncharacterized. The record is from RefSeq and is a predicted model, not a curated record. NCBI's taxonomy places the organism in Eukaryota, Metazoa, Arthropoda, Insecta, Lepidoptera, Pyralidae. The transcript has 2 exons.
AUCUAAAACCUACUUAAAUAAAAACGUAUUUUCAAAUGUAAGGAAAAUAGGGUAAUGCUGCAUAGUAUAAUCAUUAUUAGCAAAAAGUGCUCAUACAAAAUGUUGUUACAAACUGACAGUCUGAAUUUAAGGAAAUCUUGCUUCGAAUGUUAAGAUGCUAAUAUUUUUAACAAUAUUGACGUUGACGUGCAAUUUAUCUAGUAUAUCAGCCAACGGCUACCAUCCGAAAAGAGGCCCUUAUAUAGGAAAUUUUGGUUCCCUACACUACUGGCUGAGUGCCCCUCACAAGAAACAUGACACGGUACUAAGAAAACCGUCAAUACACAUAUAUUUACUAAAGCCAAACCACAAUCGAUUCCGUAGAUCUAGCAAUUACGAUGACUAUGUUGGUCAACUGGAAAAAGAUUUAGAUGAUGCAAUAAGUAAUUAUAAUAUUAUGUUGAAAAAUAUGCAAUCCAAUGUGGAUUCAAAAGAAAAAAUUAUAAAUAAAAAAAUGGAUUUUUAUAGCAGAAUUGUGUCCGAAGGGAUAGACAAUGCGAGGAGGAGAAAUUCGAAAAGUUUUAAGAAGUUGAAGAAACGGUACAAGAAUGUGAUGAAAAGAUACAAAAGAUACUAAAUUUAAAUGAAACACAUGUCAAUUUAUUUCAAACUAACCUAAAAAUAAGUAAAGUUGUAGUAUGAUUAUGACUGCUCUUCUAUUUUCUCUCUAUACCAAAUCAUGUCAAAUCAAUAUAGAUUUUGUUGCAAUUUGGUAGUAUAGCAUAUGUAUUCUCUCUUUCUUAUGGUAUGUACCUAAUAGUUAAUAGUAACGAUUGGGCUGACUUGAUUGCAGCUUCCGAUGAAGCCGUCGAAGUGUCUCGGUUCUGGCAAGAAUAUAAUUUAGCACCCGAUUAAAGCGUUGUAGAUUUGCCAUGGACACGCAAAAGAAAAAGAGUACUUAUUAUUAGUGAAUUUCAAUGAAGUUGCAACACUCACCAAACUUAUUUCGUACCGUUUGAAACAACGGAAAUUAUAUCCCGACUACAAAUUCAGACAUUUUGCUCAGCAUCGAAUCGUGUUAAUACAAAAAAUGGUCCAAUUCUGAUCCUUUUACGCAGCCGUCCGUCGUCGGCAAAAAGGAUCGGAAAUAGAUAUUAUUUAACUUCGUCUCAUGUCUAACCUUUUUGUUUAACUUCGUGAUACGGGAUAUAAGAUUUUUUUCCGUAGUAAUGAUUUGAAAGAUGUCAUCCACAAGAAGACAAGAAGACGAAUGUUAUAUUCAUGGUAUUAGUAGGCACUCCUUACGAAGUACUUAUUAAAUCCAUGGUUAUAUCACCCACUACAGUGCAUAGAUAUACUAAUAAGCUUCAUAAUUCCAUAAUGUUUUAUUUUAUUGAAAAUGAACAAUUGUUUUUUUUGCUGCAACAUAUGAUAAGAACAUUUUUACAAUAUCUGUACUUGAAUACAUAUACUGCGGAGAGUUUAAAAUCUAGAAAUACGUGAUGACUUACUCACUAGGCAAGCCCGUAUCGAGGAAGCCUGCAUUACUAAUAAAAUAUUAUAAUCAAAUGCCUAUGUUUAAACUA